This 478-nucleotide ribosomal RNA is filed under the name uncultured bacterium. Its description in RNAcentral is "bacterial SSU rRNA". It matches the Rfam family "Bacterial small subunit ribosomal RNA", at positions 364 to 832 of the family's 1533-position model. The record is from RNAcentral.
UUUCGCAAUGCCCGAAAGGGUGACGAAGCGACGCCGCGUGGGUGAGGAAGGCCUUCGGGUUGUAGAGCCCUGUCAGGAGUUAGGAAAUGUAGGUGCGCUAAUAUCGUGCCUAUUUGACAAAGGCUCCAAAGGAAGCCACGGCUAACUCUGUGCCAGCAGCCGCGGUAAUACAGAGGUGGCAAGCGUUGUUCGGAAUUAUUGGGCGUAAAGAGCACGUAGGUGGAUUUGUAAGUCAGAUGUGAAAGCCUUCUGUUCAACGGGAGAAUCGCAUCUGAAACUACAAACCUUGAGUAUAGGAGGGGAGAAUGGAACUUCUGGUGGAGCGGUGAAAUGCGUAGAUAUCAGAAGGAACGCCGGCGGCGAAAGCGAUUCUCUGGCCUAUUACUGACACUCAGUGUGCGAAAGCUAGGGGAGCAAACGGGAUUAGAUACCCCGGUAGUCCUAGCCGUAAACGAUGGGCACUAAGUAGAGGGGUUUU